UAGUGGAUGUCAUACUUCCAAGAAAAGCUUGCACUGUCAUAAAUAAAAACGCCUGUACCAUAACCGACACAGGUGGGUAGGUAGAGUAUACUAAGGGGCGCGAGAUAACUCUCUCCAAGGAACUCGGCAAAAUGACUCCGUAACUUCGGGAGAAGGAGUGCCUUAUUCGUAAGGCUGCAAUAACAAGAUCCAAGCAACUGUUUAUCAAAAACACAGGUCUCCGCUAAGUCGUAAGACGAUGUAUGGGGGCUGACGCCUGCCCAGUGCCAGAAGGUUAAAGAAGUCGGUUAGCAUUAGCGAAGCUGGUAACUGAAGCCCUGGUGAACGGCGGCCGUAACGAUAACGGUCCUAAGGUAGCGAAAUUCCUUGUCGGGUAAGUUCCGACCCGCACGAAAGGCGUAAUGAUUUGGAUACUGUCUCGGAGAGGGGCUCGGUGAAAUAGACUUGUCUGUGAAGAUGCGGACUACCUGCACCAGGACAGAAAGACCCUAUGAAGCUUUACUGUAACUUGAAAUUGAAAUUGGACUUUAUUCGCGCAGUAUAGGUGGGAGGUGUUGAUUAUAAUCUUGCGGGAUUAUUGGAGCCAUCAGUGAGAUACCACUCUUGUAAUGUUAGAUUUCUAACUUUGAAUCAUUAUCUGGUCAAAGAACAGUUUCAGGCGGGCAGUUUGACUGGGGCGGUCGCCUCCUAAAUGGUAACGGAGGCGUACAAAGGUUUCCUCUGAACGGGUAGAAAUCGUAUCUAGAGUGUAAAGGCAUAAGGAAGCUUGACUGUGAGACCUACAAGUCGAGCAGGGACGAAAGUCGGUCUUAGUGAUCUGACGGUACUGAGUGGAAAGGCCGUCACUCAACGGAUAAAAGUUACUCUAAGGAUAACAGGCUGAUCUCCCCCAAGAGUUCACAUCGACGGGGAGGUUUGGCACCUCGAUGUCGGCUCAUCGCAUCCUGGGGCGGUAGUACGUCCCAAGGGUUGGGCUGUUCGCCCAUGAAAGCGGUACGCGAGCUGGGUUCAGAACGUCGUGAGACAGUUCGGUCCAUAUCCGGUGUAGGCGUUAGAAUAUUGAGAGGAGCCUUCUUUAGUACGAGAGGACCGAGAAGGACAUACCUCUGGUGUACCAGUUAUCGUGCCAACGGUAAACGCUGGGUAGCUAUGUAUGGAGUGGAUAACCGCUGAAAGCAUCUAAGUGGGAAGCCCACCUCAAGAUAAGUAUUCUC
Molecule: ribosomal RNA, 1214 nt
Filed under: metagenome
Description: bacterial LSU rRNA
Rfam family: Bacterial large subunit ribosomal RNA
Source: RNAcentral